RNAcentral lists this unclassified non-coding RNA (512 nucleotides) under Fusarium perseae. RNAcentral's name for it is "Neocosmospora perseae sequence contains ITS1, 5.8S rRNA gene, ITS2". The stretch from base 162 to 315 matches the Rfam family "5.8S ribosomal RNA". The record is from RNAcentral. Lineage: Eukaryota; Fungi; Ascomycota; Sordariomycetes; Hypocreales; Nectriaceae.
GGAGGACAUUACCGAGUUAUUCAACUCAUCAACCCUGUGAACAUACCUAAACGUUGCUUCGGCGGGAAUAGACGGCCCCGUGAAACGGGCCGCCCCCGCCAGAGGACCCUUAACUCUGUUUCUAUAAUGUUUCUUCUGAGUAAAACAAGCAAAUAAAUUAAAACUUUCAACAACGGAUCUCUUGGCUCUGGCAUCGAUGAAGAACGCAGCGAAAUGCGAUAAGUAAUGUGAAUUGCAGAAUUCAGUGAAUCAUCGAAUCUUUGAACGCACAUUGCGCCCGCCAGUAUUCUGGCGGGCAUGCCUGUUCGAGCGUCAUUACAACCCUCAGGCCCCCGGGCCUGGCGUUGGGGAUCGGCGGAGCCCCCCGUGGGCACACGCCGUCCCCCAAAUACAGUGGCGGUCCCGCCGCAGCUUCCAUCGCGUAGUAGCUAACACCUCGCGACUGGAGAGCGGCGCGGCCACGCCGUAAAACACCCAACUCUUCUGAAGUUGACCUCGAAUCAGGUAGGAAU